Molecule: RNA transcript, 982 nt
Organism: Enhydra lutris kenyoni (northern sea otter)
Lineage: Eukaryota; Metazoa; Chordata; Mammalia; Carnivora; Mustelidae
Gene name: UDP-glucuronosyltransferase 1-6 pseudogene
Exons: 1
Source: RefSeq, a predicted model, not a curated record
UAGGGGUUGUAAAGAGCACUGGUUCUUUCAGGGAAAAAGAGCCAGGGACCCCUGAGGUUUAGAGAACGUGAACUGUUUAUUCUUGUCGCUACCUGUCCUCUCCUCCAGAUGACCUGCCUCCUCCAGUUGUUUCAGAAAGUUUUCUUCUUAGUGCUCUGGGGGGAGGUUGUAGGUGACAGGCUGCUGGUGGUCCCUCAGGAUGGAAGCCACUGGCUCAGUAUGAAGGACAUAGUUGAGCUCCUCAGUGAGAACGGGCAUGACAUUGUGGUGCUGGUGCCAGAAGUCAAUUUGCUUUUGAAGGAGUCCAAGCACUACACAAGAAAAAUCUAUCCAGUGCCAUUCGACCAGGAGGAGCUGGAGAAUCGGUACCGCUCUUUUGGAAACAAUCACUUUGCUGAGAGAUGGCUCCUGAACGCUGCUCAGAUGGAAUACAGGAAUAGCAUGAUCGUUAUUGACAUGUAUUUCACCAACUGCCAGAGCCUCCUGGAGAACUCGGCCACCCUGAGUGUCCUCAGGGAGAGCAAGUUCGAUGCCCUUUUCACAGACCCAGCCCUACCCUGCGGGGUGAUCCUGGCUGAGUACCUGGGCCUGCCCUCCGUGUACCUCUUCAGGGGCUUCCCAUGCUCCCUGGAGCAUACCAUGAGCAGGAGCCCAAACCCUGUGUCCCACGUUCCCAGAUGCUACACUCAGUUCUCAGACCAGAUGACGUUCCCCCAAACGGGUGGCCAACUACCUCGCUAAUUACUUGGAGACUUAUCUGUUCCACUGUCUGUACUUGAAGUACGAAGACCUCGCCUCCAAUAUCCUCAAGAGGGAUGUGCACCUACCCACCUUGUAUCAGAAGGGCUCCAUCUGGCUCUUAAGAUAUGACUUUGUGUUUGAAUAUCCCAGACCGGUCAUGCCUAACAUGGUUUUCGUUGGAGGGACCAAUUGCAAGAAGACGGGGGUCCUGUCUCAGAUGGGUGGUUUUCUUUCUUUUUGA